UACGUAGGGUGCUAGCGUUGUUCGGAAUCAUUGGGCGUAAAGCGCGUGUAGGUGGUUAGGUAAGUCGAAUGUGAAAUCCCUCGGCUCAACCGAGGAAGUGCAUCCGAAACUCCCUAGCUAGAGGACGGUAGAGGAAGGUGGAAUUCCAAGUGUAGAGGUGAAAUUCGUAGAUAUUUGGAGGAAUACCGGUGGCGAAGGCGGCCUUCUGGGCCGUUCCUGACACUGAGACGCGAAAGCGUGGGUAGCAAACAGG
Molecule: ribosomal RNA, 253 nt
Filed under: uncultured bacterium
Lineage: Bacteria
Description: partial 16S ribosomal RNA
Rfam family: Bacterial small subunit ribosomal RNA
Source: RNAcentral